GGAGGAGUGGCCGAGUGGCUGAAGGCGGUCGCCUCGAAAGCGACUAUACCAGAAAUGGUAUCGGGGGUUCAAAUCCUCCCUCCUCCG
Molecule: transfer RNA, 87 nt
Filed under: candidate division WOR-1 bacterium RIFCSPHIGHO2_01_FULL_53_15
Lineage: Bacteria; Bacillati
Also listed under: 1 other name
Description: tRNA-Ser
Rfam family: tRNA
About the family: Transfer RNA (tRNA) molecules are approximately 80 nucleotides in length.
Source: RNAcentral